AGGGUUGUAGUUAAUUAUAACAUUUGAAUUGCACUCAAAAAGUACUAAAUCUAGUCUACCUUA
This 63-nucleotide transfer RNA is filed under the name Mecopoda niponensis. Its description in RNAcentral is "tRNA-Ala". It matches the Rfam family "tRNA". From Rfam's summary of the family: Transfer RNA (tRNA) molecules are approximately 80 nucleotides in length. Their secondary structure includes four short double-helical elements and three loops (D, anti-codon, and T loops). Further hydrogen bonds mediate the characteristic L-shaped molecular structure. tRNAs have two regions of fundamental functional importance: the anti-codon, which is responsible for specific mRNA codon recognition, and the 3' end, to which the tRNAs corresponding amino acid is attached (by aminoacyl-tRNA synthetases). tRNAs cope with the degeneracy of the genetic code in two manners: having more than one tRNA (with a specific anti-codon) for a particular amino acid; and 'wobble' base-pairing, i.e. permitting non-standard base-pairing at the 3rd anti-codon position. Lineage: Eukaryota; Metazoa; Arthropoda; Insecta; Orthoptera; Tettigoniidae. The record is from RNAcentral.